RNAcentral lists this long non-coding RNA (401 nucleotides) under Gossypium barbadense (sea-island cotton). RNAcentral describes it as "long non-coding RNA (GBAR_LNC016287)". The record is from RNAcentral. Lineage: Eukaryota; Viridiplantae; Streptophyta; Magnoliopsida; Malvales; Malvaceae.
GUGGGAAUUACUUCGAAUACCAGGCUUUUGCCAUUGGAUCACGGUCACAAGCUGCAAAGACAUACUUGGAACGGAGGUUUGAGAACUUUACAGACUCCUCGAGGGAUGAUCUGGUGAAAGAUGCUAUUACGGCAAUAAGGGAGACCCUGCAAGGAGAAACUCUGAAAAGCUCAAUAUGUACAAUUGCUGUGGUAGGGGUUGGAGAACCGUUCCAUGUAUUAGAUCAGGGAACUGUACAACAAAUCAUCGAUACCUUCGAGAUUGCAGCGGAGCAAGAAGACCCUGCUACCGAACCUGAUGCUGCUACAGGUCAGGAGGCUGCCACUGAGCAGGGCACUGCUGCUGAUCAAGGUGGUUCUACAGAUGAAGGUGCGGCCCCAAUGGAUAUUUGAGGAUGCAAG